UGGGGAAUUUUACGCAAUGGGCGAAAGCCUGACGUAGCGACACCGCGUGAGCGAAGAAGCCCUUUGGGGUGUAAAGCUCUGUCGGCAGGGACGAAUAAAUUGACGGUACCUGCAAAGGAAGCAUCGGCUAACUACGUGCCAGCAGCCGCGGUAAGACGUAGGAUGCGAGCGUUGUCCGGAUUCAUUGGGCGUAAAGAGUUCGUAGGCGGUUUAUUAAGUCUGAUGUUAAAGAUCAGGGCCCAACCCUGGAGGUGCAUUGGAUACUGGUAGACUGGAGUGCAGUAGAGGCGAGUGGAAUUCCCAGUGUAGCGGUGAAAUGCGUAGAUAUUGGGAAGAACACCGGUGGCGCAGGCGACUCGCUGGGCUGUAACUGACGCUGAGGAACGAAAGCUAGGGGAGCAAAUGGGAUUAGAUACCCCCGUAGUCC
This 427-nucleotide ribosomal RNA is filed under the name uncultured bacterium. RNAcentral describes it as "bacterial SSU rRNA". It matches the Rfam family "Bacterial small subunit ribosomal RNA", at positions 355 to 796 of the family's 1533-position model. The record is from RNAcentral.